UUCAGCCAGGCUAGUGCAGUCU
RNAcentral lists this microRNA (22 nucleotides) under Homo sapiens (human). RNAcentral describes it as "hsa-miR-3157-5p". Lineage: Eukaryota; Metazoa; Chordata; Mammalia; Primates; Hominidae. The record is from miRBase by way of RNAcentral.